Long non-coding RNA from Labeo rohita (rohu), 5078 nucleotides. RefSeq lists it as uncharacterized. The transcript is spliced from 3 exons. The record is from RefSeq and is a predicted model, not a curated record. Lineage: Eukaryota; Metazoa; Chordata; Actinopteri; Cypriniformes; Cyprinidae.
UGAACCAUUUUUAGCUGAUGAAAAUACUAGUGGCCUAAGACUUUUGCACAGUACUGUACAUUAAAGGCAUAGGUCACGAAGAAAUAAACCUGAAUUCAUUAUUUGCUCAUCCUGGUCUUUCACAUGCAUGACCUUCUUUCUUUUACAUAACACAGAAGGAGAGCUUUUUAAAAUAAAUAUCCUAGUUGUGCUUGAUCAUUUGAAAAAAAAAUUGCAAAAAGGAUGCAGAUAUAGAUAUAUAAAAUGUCCAUCUUGCUAAAUUAAGAUGAAUAAACAACACAAAACAUUACACCUAUAAACCUUCAAAAGUAUGCAUGUACUUUCUUUUCUGAGCUCUCUGUUGUGUUAAGAAUAAUUGGUCUCUCACUUAGGGAUAUUAUUAUGAUUUUACUUUUUUAAUAUGAUGAAUGGCUGGCCUGGAUAAACUGUUUUUUUUUUCUUUUUUGUAUUUUAUUCAGAGUCAUCAAAGAGUGAUGUCAAUAAUUCAGCCAGUGAGUCAUCGAAGAGUGAUGUCAAAAAUUCAGCCAGUGCCUUCAGCCUUCUAUCCACUGUGAUGUUGUGUCCCCUUGGAUUGGUCUUGUCACACUUUGUAUCACACUGAAAAAAGAUCAAGAAGUGACCAUGAAAGUGCUGUGACGCUGAUGCUCACUACUUAGUUACCUCAUCUAGCAUUCUCACUGUAUAGCUGUUAGGGAAAUGUUUUGAGGGAAACAGCUGUUGAACAAGUAAGACAUAAAGAUUAGUCUUUUGAUUUUAGUAAUGAUCCAUAUAAUUAUUUCAGUUAGUGAAAUCAAAGCUUAAAGAGGAAUGUACUUUACUCCCCAACACUGCACGUUUAUUAUUUCUCUCCAGUCAGAAGUGAGCGUCUAUAUGUCCUAGAGCAGAACCCUUGAAGUGGGGACUUUGGAGGGAGCAGUGCUCUUAUGUAAGGUUUGCCAUUUGGAAUGCACCUGAUGAAGGGAACAAUAUAAAAUGACAUAUUUUCUUCAUCUUCACCUGGAAUGUUACCAUGAUAACCAUUAAUCACCCCAUUAGCUGGAUACAAUGGGAAUCUCUUAUUAUUGCUGUAAUUGUUGUAAAUAAGUAACACAAAAACACUUUUUGGAAUUUGCCUCAGAUCUUGCCGUAUGCACUAAUGAGCUAAUAGUUAAAUCAGGUGUGUUAGAUGAAGCAGACAUACAAAAUGUGAAGUGUUGAGGGUCUCUGGUACAGGUUUGGGCACCAGUGAAAUAGUUGACAGAAAUAAUUGCUACAAGAUGUUAAAAAAAAAAAAAAAAAAAAAAAAAAAAAAAAAAAAAACUGCUGAGGUGGGGUUAUAAACACAAUGUAUCAGCUGUACCUAUUGUAGAUCUGUACUUUGUCAGAUGCUGUCAAUUCCCAUGAAUGCACUAAUGGUGGCCACAACUGCAUCUACCACUUUAGUUAGUAUCUGAGUAAGAGUAAGUUGAGUAAUUAGUGUGUGGAUGAAUUGUUCAAUAUUUUUUUUGUAAUUUAAGAUUGCUGUGUGAUAUUUCCAAUUUUGAUUUAAACUGUUUGCAAUCUAAAUUGUACACUCUUUUUCUAAAGAAAUGCUACUGAUUUGCACAUUUUCAGCUGGAUAUAAUAAUAAAAAAUAAAUUAAAAUAAAAUAAAAAGCUGAGUUAUGAAUAUUAGUAGUAGCAUUCCCAGAUAACAAAAUACUAUACUAAAAAAUAGUUGAUUCAUCAGUGUUAAUGGCAUUGAAUUAAUAUCGCUUUUGCACCCGCAAUUAAUGUUGAAAAAAUGUUGAAAUUUCAACAAACCGCCAUUACUGUGAUAAGUUCGUUAUGCUCUUGAUUCUUGCUUUCCAGACAAUUCUCUUUUCUUGCUUACAGUGUAAACACCCAAGCUUUAAAAAAGAAAGCAAUAUUUUAAAAUUAAGUUGGAGUAGAUAACUCUUUGUGAUGGGUGUCAAGCUGCAAAAAAGUUGAAAAACAAUACUUAACAAUAUUGGUGGUUUCUCAUUACAUAUGCAAAUGUUCUAUUUCACAAGUACAAAGAUACUGUGGAAAAAUAAAAAUAUUUAGACAUCAACACUCAUCAUACAAACCUCAACAGUGGUGACAAUCAUCAAACUAAUUCAGAUAAACGGACCAAUUGCAGUGUAUGCUGGGAGUCAUGAAUUAGUUUUGUACUAUGUUGAUGCCCAGCAUGCACUUCAGCAUAACAUUUUCUUUUGUUGAUUGUCCCCCAUGUUGAGUUGCAUACACUGAUUCUUGAUGUUUAAUUGAUUCAGCAAUUUAAUGUUUUUGUUGGUAAUUCAUAGAAGUAUGGUAGCAGUACCACUACUGUAAUCUCACACUGUAGCAUCACACAUAAAAAAAACACAACAAUGUAUUUUAGCACUUUGUUACAAGUGACAAAGAGUCAAGAGCCCAAAUAAAGCAAUCACUGAUCACAAUAAUGGUAUUUUGUUGAAAUGUCAACAUUUUGUUAACAUUAAUUGCGAAUGCAAAUAUGAUUUUGAUUCAAUGCAAUUAACAUUGAUUUUGUAUGUACUGUACAUGUCAUAUUGGUGUCACAACAUGCAUUUCACAUGGGUGUGUACAAACAUUUCCUAUGCAUUUGUUUGAGCAUUUAGCACAUGUGUGUGGUUACUUCACAUUUGUGUACGAAAGUGUAUCAUGUACUGCAAGUGAAAUUUGUUCAGGUGUGUUUGAUUAGGGUUGGAGCUGAAAUCUGCAGGAAAAUGGAUCUCACGGGCCAAAGUUGAGAAUCCCUGCCUUUAGCUCGCCAUUAGUAGGAAGAAAGCAUUUACUAUAAUGGGUAGUGAGCGUUGGUCCUGGAGAGCCGCAGCCCUGCAGAGUUUUGCUUUAACCCUAAUCAAACACACCUGAACAAGCUAAUCAAGGUCUGAAGGGUUACUAGGAAGCUGCAGGCAGGUGCGUUUUUAUUAGGGUUGGAGCUGAACUCUGCAGGGCUGCGGCUCUCAGGACUGGAGUUCACCACACCUGUACUAUAACUUCAAAAUAUUUCUGAGGUGGAAGAAUGUUGUUCCACAAACCAUGGAAAUGACUUUCCAAAAGCUGAAUGCUAUCCAACAAUCCAUGGGCCUACAAUUUCUCAACUGUGAAAGAUGAAAAAACAAUAUUGGCAUCAAAUAAUAGCCCAUAUUCUGGCAUUUUAGGAGGUUUUUGGUUUGGUAAUUAAGAUUUAUGUGUUCAAAGUUAUGUUAUUUUUUUACAUAGCCACAUAAAUAGAGCUUCAGAGACGGGCAUAUCCCACACUGUAAAAAAAAAAAAAAAAAUGUAAUUUUACGGAAAAUAACUGAUUUUUUCAGGUUGUUUUCUUUUAUUUUGAAUUGCAGUCAAAACUAUGUAAAACUAUCUUUAAAUUAAAAACCUGGCUGUUAUUUUAAGUAUUAUGACAUUAAUUACAAAUCACAGUAAUUCACAUUUUUUAUACUGAAAAACUACUGUAUUUUUAUACAGUAUGUUUUCUGUUUUCUUAAUUUACAAACAAAUAUUGUAAAAUUACAAAAAAAAAAUCUGUAAUUAAUACAAUAACAAAUCCGUUAGAUGAUAAAACGGUCAAAUGACUGGCAGUAAAGUAAAAUCUCCUUAUUUAAAUAAGCUGACAAACACUGUUAUUUUACAGCUAUUUCCUGAAUUUAAUGAUCAAACACCUCGACUGUAAAACAAAAGACAAAAAACGGUCAAAUGACUGGCAGCACAGGGUGCCAAACAAAAACCUUCAAAUUAAAGUCAAAUCUCUUUAUAUAAAUAAUUUAACAACACUCUUAAUUUACAGGCAUUUCCUAAAUUAUUACAAACAAACACCUUGACUGUAAAAUUAACUCAUUAACUAAUUAAUUAAGUACUUAAACAUCACAUGACUGACAGCAACAGAACAUGAAACACUAACAGAUCUCUCUAGAUCUCAGCAUCUAGUCUGACUUUAUUUCUUUCAUACAAAACUUCUUAUUGAGAAUUAACAGAUGUUUAUAUGUUAAUGUUUUUAGUGAAAAUAAAAAGUUUGAAGUCACCAUUGCGGAGAUAAGCAUUUGCUUUAGUUGUGUUCUUGAUCCUUGACUGUAUAAAUUAAGGUUUUUUUCUGUUUUUAGGCACAUGUGUUAUAGCAAAAACUAGUAUAGAAAAGCUGUUCAGAUACAGUUGGUUGUUAACAGUCAGCAGUUUAUUGAUCAUAGUAGCCUGACUCACUGAGCGUAUCAAGAAUGUCAUUGUUGAGUAUGUUGGCUUUAAGUUCUGCAGUUUUACAGUAGUUCUACAAUAUUACAACAACAAUUUUUUUUUCUGUCUUAUAUAUUUUUGAACAGCUAGGUUUUUUGACACACACAAACAUCAAGGAUCAGCACAUGAAUCUCAACAAUGGUGACAAUCAAUAAAAAGCUUGUUUUGUGAUUUUGUCAGUUGUCACCAUUGUUGAGAUUCAUAUCCAGAUUCUUGAUGUCUGUGACUCUACACUAUCUUGUGUAUAUAGCUUUCUCAUAAAGUGACUGACAUGUGAUUAACAUGUUCUGAUAUGAGAUUUCUGCUGAUGACAAGGUCAUGCAUAGAACAUAACCAAUUUUGUUUGAUUAGACACUUUCUUGCUGGUUUUCAAUAACAAAUGUGCUUUAGAAACGCACAGCUACAGCAACUAAGAGAAAAAAAAAACAGUUAAGAAAAUCAAAAGCACAACUAAAGCAAAUGUUUAUCUUCACAAUGAUAAAAUCAAGCUUCAUUCCUUUCAAUUAAACACCAACAUCUAAACCUCAGUAAAUUCUCAAUAAGUUUUGUAUGAAAGAAACAAAGUCAGACUAGUUUGUAUUAAGCGAAGAUGCAGCAAUCUAGAGAGAUCUGUUAGUGUUUAAUAUUCUUUUGGGAUUUAAAGGGUUUCUGUUGUCCGAUUUUAGUGGGUUACCAUUGUGCUGAAGAGUAGAGCGUGUGCUUUAGUCCAGGAGAAGACAAGAAAGUGUUGCUGUUAUGCUGCAUGUCAUUUUGUUUAAAGGCUGUAACUGUGUAGUUGUUGAUGCAAUGAUAGUUAGUUUUUGUAUGUGUGCUGUUGUUAGUUAGUGAUUAACUGCAAAAAAAGCUUUGUUUCCCAAAGAAUACCUAUAA